AAGAAUUGCCCUGUUUUUUCGAAAAUGGGUUCUAUUCCAAACCGUGUAUAUAUACCUUUGUUGCUUUGGCGGGCCGCCGUUUCGGCGUCGGCUCCGGCUGACUGUGCCCGCCAGAGGACCACAACUCUUUUGUUUAGUGAUGUCUGAGUACUAUAUAAUAGUUA
Molecule: unclassified non-coding RNA, 164 nt
Filed under: uncultured fungus
Lineage: Eukaryota; Fungi
Description: sequence contains ITS1, 5.8S rRNA gene
Source: RNAcentral